RNAcentral lists this ribosomal RNA (284 nucleotides) under uncultured microorganism. Its description in RNAcentral is "partial 16S ribosomal RNA". It matches the Rfam family "Bacterial small subunit ribosomal RNA", at positions 9 to 288 of the family's 1533-position model. The record is from RNAcentral.
GAGUUUGAUCUUGGCUCAGAUUGAACGCUGGCGGCAGGCCUAACACAUGCAAGUCGAACGGUAACAGGAAACAGCUUGCUGUUUCGCUGACGAGUGGCGGACGGGUGAGUAAUGUCUGGGAAACUGCCUGAUGGAGGGGAUAACUACUGGAAACGGUAGCUAAUACCGCAUAACGUCGCAAAGACCAAAGAGGGGGACCUUCGGGCCUCUUGCCAUCGGAUGUGCCCAGAUGGGAUUAGCUAAGUAGGUGGGGUAACGGCUCACCUAGGCGACGAUCCCUAGCU